This 468-nucleotide ribosomal RNA is filed under the name uncultured bacterium. Its description in RNAcentral is "partial 16S ribosomal RNA". It matches the Rfam family "Bacterial small subunit ribosomal RNA", at positions 28 to 507 of the family's 1533-position model. The record is from RNAcentral.
GACGAACGCUGGCGGCGUGCUUAACACAUGCAAGUCGAACGGAAAGGCCCUGCUUUUGUGGGGUGCUCGAGUGGCGAACGGGUGAGUAACAAGUGAGUAACCUGCCCUUGACUUUGGGAUAACUUCAGGAAACUGGGGCUAAUACCGGAUAGGAGCUCCUGCUGCAUGGGGGGGGUUGGAAAGUUUCGGCGGUUGGGGAUGGACUCGCGGCUUAUCAGCUUGUUGGUGGGGUAGUGGCUUACCAAGGCUUUGACGGGUAGCCGGCCUGAGAGGGUGACCGGCCACAUUGGGCCUGAGAUACGGCCCAGACUCCUACGGGAGGCAGCAGUGGGGAAUAUUGCACAAUGGGCGGAAGCCUGAUGCAGCAACGCCGCGUGCGGGAUGACGGCCUUCGGGUUGUAAACCGCUUUCGCCUGUGACGAAGCGUGAGUGACGGUAAUGGGUAAAGAAGCACCGGCUAACUACGUG